This is a long non-coding RNA of Saccostrea cuccullata (small rock oyster), 577 nucleotides long. RefSeq lists it as uncharacterized. The transcript has 4 exons. NCBI's taxonomy places the organism in Eukaryota, Metazoa, Mollusca, Bivalvia, Ostreida, Ostreidae. The record is from RefSeq and is a predicted model, not a curated record.
AUGUUUAUGAAAAAGUUUCUUCUCGUGCCGUUUAUCGCAGCAUCUACAAAGCCUUUAUUGGAGAAAAUGCCAAACUUCAAUGUCUUUUCUCUGGAAUUCCUGUACCAGAGAUAAAAUGGCAGAAUAUAAAUGGAUCGUUUAUCAGAAACAAUCAUAAAUAUAGUAUUGGGCAGUUUGGGAGAGAACUUCAAAUAUUUAAUGUUACCUUUGAUGAUGACGGUGUUUACACCUGCGUCACAAGAAACAACCUUACACUAAAUCCGAUGCUUAAUGUCACAUCCACUCCGUUAUUCCCCGAUGUACACAGGAAUUUUGUGACGAAGAUAGUAAAUUUUCGGACUAGAAAUGACAUCAAACUAUUAUGCAAUGCUGCAUCUGCGCCAAGCGAGCUUGAUCCUAUUGUAGACAGGUGGAUGAAGAAUGGAAAGGAAAUAAAACAAGGUUAUCCUUAUCAUCUUUCUGACGACAACAAGACAUUAAACAUAAACAAAAUGAGGUUACCUGACGCAGGAUGUUACACGUGUGUGACGAAAAAUAGCGAAGGGAUUGCUGUAGCUAACUUUUUACUUCGCUCCGG